AUCCGGGCUCUACUGGUGAAAAUAACUGCAGACGGCUGGUAAAAAGUUGGAAUAGCUUUCGUUAAGCGUCGGAUGUGUAGAGUGCUGAGUUAGGGGCUGGACUAGAGACGUUGGGACAUCUCCCGGGAACAGCAGCCUGGAGGGGAAAAAUCUCCUGACCUAAGUGGUCAUUCGGCCUUGGCGCUUGGACACGGGAGUGCGGCGACAGCCAUAUGUCCAUCCAUCUUGGCACUUUUCCGUCCUCUGCCUUUGAAGAUGGGUGUGCCCGGCAGGCUGUGAAAGAUAAACAUUAGAGGGUUGUUUAGAAGACUUUUUUGACCUGAGCCCAUGAGGUGCAUACCCUUUGUUUGGCGGAGAAACCAGUGGCUUCUGAAGAUCAGGGACGGGCCACAAGUGCGAGGCAUUGCAGACAUUUCGAACCCAGACUUCCAGCCUGGAGACAUCCACACGCUUCCAGUUUCUUGCACUGGUACUUCAUUCUGUCAUUAUGAUUGCCACCACUCGUAACUGAGAGUUGCGUGCCCUCAAGUUUUGAGUGUCUGCAGGGUACCUUUGAGCUUUCUUAGCUGUGUAGUGAGUGGGGGGAAUGGAGAAAAUGAAGGACAGAUGACUGAUUUGUAGUUUUUCAUUUGGACACUGUCCUUGCCGCACAAGCACAGCAGCUUGAACCUCUUUGAACAAGAGUCGAGAGUUCUUUUACAGCUAAUUACCCACUAGUUAAACUUGAUCAUACUGUGCUGUUUUCUUCCUCUCCAUUGUCAAUGUAAUACGGCUCCUGACAAAAGUUAAAUUCGCUGGGCGUGGUGGCUCACCCCUGUACUCCCAGCACUUUGGGGGCUGAGGCGGGUGGAUCACCUGAAGUCAGGAAUUCAAGACCAGCCUGGCCAACAUGGUGAAACCCCGUCUCUACUAAAAAUACAAAAGUUAGCUGCGUGUGGUGGCGGGCGCCUGUAAUCCCAGCUACUCAGGAGGCUGAGGCAGGAGAAUCGUUUGAACCCGGGGGGGCGGAGGUUGCAGUGAGCUGAGAUCGCGCCACUGCACUUCAGCCUGGGUGACAGAGUGAAACUCCGUCUCAAAAAAAAAAAAAAAAGCCGGGCGCUGUGGCUCACACCUAUAAUCCCAGCACUUUGGGAAGCCGAGGGGGGAGGAUCUCGAGGUCAGGAGUUGGAGACCAGCCUGACCAACAUGGAGAAACCUCGUCUCUACUAAAAAUACAAAAUUAGCCAGGCGUGGUGGUGGGCACCUGUAAUCCCAGCUACUGGGGAGGCCGAGGCAGGAGAAUCCUUUGAUCCCGGGAAGCAGAGGUUGCAGUGAGCCGAGAUCACACCAGAGAUGCACGCCAGCCUGGGCAACAGAGCAAGAUUCCUUCUCGAAAAACAAACAAACAAACAAAAAAACAGUUCAAAAGACACAGAAUGGACUGGUGGCGAUGGCCCACGCCUGUAAUCCCAGCACUUUGGGAAGCCAAAGCGGAAGGAUCGCUUGAAGUCAGGAGAACAGCCUGGGCAGCAUAGUGAGACCUCGUUUCUACUUAAAACAAAAACAAACAAACAAACAAAAAAACAACAGGUGUGGUGACUUAGACCUGUGGUCCCAGCUACUCAGGAGGCUGAGAUGGGAGGAUCACUUGGGCCCCAGCCGUUGAGGACUGCAGUGACCUAUGAUCGCACCACUGCUCUCCAUCCUGGGUGACAGAGUGAGACCCUGUCUCAAAAAAAAAAAAAAGCACAGGAUGUAAAAUCAGGCAUUAGGUUUGCUAUUCCUACAUGUAAACUUAUGGAACAUUUUCUUGUUUCCUUUCAUUUUGUUUUACAAAAAGGAUGAUCCCAUUGUUAACUUUUUCUCUUUACCACUUAGUGGAUGCCUUCCACUGUCUCACCACAAUCUUAUCCUUUUAAGCAGUUGCCUAUCAGGUGUCUCCACUGCUCACAUUUGGGACAAAAAUAAUGCAAUGUGCAGUCGCUCACGCCUGUAAUCCCACCACUUUGGGAGGCCAAAGUGAGCAGAUCACCUGAGGUCAGUAGUUUGAGACCAGCCUGGCCAACAUGGUAAAACCCCAUCUCUACUAAAAAUACAAAAAAGACUGUCUCAAAAUUUUUUUUUAUAAAAAUAAUAAUGCAAUGGUUAUCCAACCGUGAGAAUUCGGAGGAGACCUUGUUAAAACACAUUUCUGGGUGUCUCUAGGAUUGUUUUGCAUUUGUAACAAGUUCCCAGGUAAAGUUGCUCUUGCUUAUUGAGGAGGACACUUUGAGAACCACCACCAUAAAGGGUCAUAAAACGCAAUUAAAAAAAAAAUUCACAGUAAAACAAAAAAGGGUGGGUGUAAGGCCCUGCAUGGUGGCUGAUGCCUAUAAUCCUAGCACUUUGGGAAGGCGAGGCAGGCAGAUCACUUGAGGCCAGGAGUUUGAGGCCAGCAUGGCCAACAUCGCGAAACCCCAUCUCUACUAAAAAUACAAAAAUUAAUCAGGCACAGGGGCACACGCUUGUAAUCCCAGCUACUCGGGAGGCUGAGACAGGAAAAUCGCUUGAACCAGGGAGGCUGAGGUUGCAGUGAGCCAAGAUAGCACCACUGCAUUCCAGCCUGGGUGACAGAGUGAGACCCUGUCUCGGGGGGUGGGGGGAAAGGGUGGGUGUGGGUAGGGAGCUAUCCAUUAAAAAGUCAAUAAUAAAGAUAGAAGAGAUGAUAGAAUUAGAAAACUACCAUCUUACCACUCCCAGGGAGAUAAAUGUCAGGAAAGUAUAAUUAAUGAGUGCUAAAACUAGAGACCAGCACUUCAGAGGAAUGUUAUAGCUAGUGGUUACCACCUUAACCAGAUGGUCAAAAUUGGUAUCAAAAAUGGUAUAACAAUCUGAUGUCUGAUUCUAAUAUAAUGCAUGAGUUGUACACAUCACCUAUAUUGCCAAAUGUGUAACCUGAACUUAACUGUGCUGAAAACAUGAGACAAGAAAUCCAGACUGAGGAACAUUCUACAAGACAAUUCAUGUCUAUGUCCUGAAACACAGAAAACAGGGCAGUUGUUCUAUAUAGAAAAACAAACCAUGAUUGAAUCUUGGAUUGGAAAAGGAAAAAAAAUAAAAGCCCUAAUACAUUUUUGGAACAACUGAGGAAAUUUGAAUAUGUUCUGCAUAUUAGAUAUUAAGUUACCAAUUUUCUUAGUGUGAUAGGAUUGUGGCAGGGUUUUUUUUUUUUUUUUGAUUUUUAGAGUCAUGGUCUCACUCAGGUUGAACCACAGGCCACCAUGCCUGGCUAAUUUUUGUAGAGACAGUGUCUUGCGCUGUUGCCCAGGCUGGUCUUAAACUCCUGGCCUCAAUUGAUCCUCCUACCCUGGCCUCCCAAAACACUGGGAUUACACCGCUGGUGUGGUGGCUCAUGCCAGUAAUCCCAGCACUUUGGGAGGCUGAGGCAAGAGGAUCUGUGGAGCCCAGGAGUUCGAGACCAGCCUGGCCAAGAUUUAAAACAAAAACAAUCAUGGGAUUACAGAUGUGAGCCACUGUGCUAGCAGAAAGAUGCCUUUUUAACAUGCCACAUCUUCAGUAACAUUAAAAAUCACCAGGCACACUUGGUUUAUCAACCAAGGAAAGCACAUACCUUUCCUUCUUUUCUUUACUUUCCUUCCUUUCCUUACUGUUCUGAGGCUUUUUAAUAAAAUUUCACUCCUGCUCUGAAACUUGCCUGGGUUUCUUCUUCUGCCUUAUGCCCCUCAGUCAAAUCCUUUCUUCUGAGGAGGCAAGAAUUGAAAAUUCUUAAAAAAACACCCAACAUCAAGCUGACAAAAAAUAAAUAAAUAAAAUCUCAAAAGAUAUUGACUGGCCAGGUGCGGUGACUCACACCUUUAAUCCCAGCACUUUAGGAGGCCGCGGUGGGCAGAUCACGAGGUCAGGAGUUCGAGACCAGCCUGACCAACAUGGUGAAACCGCAUCUCUACUAAAAAUACAAAAAUUAGCCAGGCGUAGUGGCAUGCGCCUGUAAUCCCAGCUACUCAGGAGGCUGAGGCGGGAGAAUCACUUGAAUCUGGGAGGUGGAGGUUGCAGUGAGCCAAGAUUGCGCCACUGCACUCCAGCCUGGGUGACAGAGACACCAUCUCAAAAAAAAAAAAAAAAAAAAAAAAGAAAAGAAAAGAAAAAGAAAAAGAUAUUGACUGGCCAGGUGCGGUGGCUCAUGCCUGUAAUCCCAACAGUUUGGGAGGCCGAGGCUGGCAGAUCACUUGAGGUCAGGAGUUCGAGACCAGCCUGGCCAACAUGGUGAAACCCCCUCUCUACUAAAAAUACGAAAAUCAGCUGGGCAUGGUGGUGAACACCUGUAAUCCCAGCUACUCGGGAGGCUGAGGCAGGAGAAUUGCUUGAACCAGGGAGGCAGAGGUUGCAAUGAGUCGAAAUUGUGCCAGUGCACUACAGCCUGGGCAACAGAGGGAGACUGUCUCAAACAAACAAACAAAAGUACACUCCACAGGGUGGUAGCAGGCCAAGCAUAGGGUCCCAAGAGCCAGGUUACAGAAUUUUCUGGGGUUUAAAUACCCUCUAGAGGUUUCCCAUUGGCCACUUGGUAUACACCCCAUGCAAAUAAAGUAGUGUCCCACAAUUAGUAUGAUUGGUUGUAGAAAGCAGCCAAUCAGAAGUACUUUCCACUUUCCAUCUGCCACACAGGAAAAGGGGGGUGGGGGUUUGCAAAGGGAGUACCCUCAGGUCCAUUUGUUACUUAAGUGUGGAAAGUUGGGGUUUUCCUUUUGAUUUAGUUCUAGGAAGUCAGCGUGAAUCUGCCUUAGGUUCCCUGCCUCCAGACCCUAUUCUAUUGCCUCACUUUCAUGACUAAAAUAUAGAAAAUAUUUAAACUAGAAAAUAAAGGAGAUGGUGGGAAUAAUGUAAAAGCUACAACCACAAAAUAAAAAUGGUAGAAAUGGUAACACCAAAAACUAGUUCUUUCAAAAGGCCAAUGAAAUAAUCUCAUGGGCAAGUCUGAUUAGAAAACAAAAGUACUCAACAUCAGGACUGAGAAAGAAGAUAUAACUGUACAUUCAGAAGAGAUUAAUUUUGUCAUGGUCCUCUACAACUAUAACUUUAAAAAUCUAGAAUGGAUGAUUUUUUUUUCUUUUUUUUUUUUGUAAGAGGCAGGGUCUUGCUGUGUCACCCAGCUUGGAGUGCAGUAGCAUGAACAUAGCUCACUAUAGCCUCAAACUCCUGGGCUCUAGUGAUCCUCCUGCCUCAGCAUUCUAAGUAGCUAGGUCUACAGGCACAUACCACCAUGACUGCCGGGCUAAUUUUUUAAAUUAUAUAUAUAUUUUUUCUAAUAGAGACAGGGUCUCACCAUGUUGCCCAGGCUGGUCUCAAAUUCCUGGGCUCAAGCAAUCCUCCUGACUAGGCCUCCUAAAGUGCUAAGAUUCGAUUUUUUAUAUUUUUUUAGAGACAGGGUCUCACUAUGUUGCCCAGGUCAGUCUUGAACUCCUGGCCUCAAGCAAUCCUCCUGCCUCAGCAUCCCAAAGUGCUGGUAUUAUAGGCAUGAGCCACCAAACAUGGACAUAAUUUUCUAUUGUUGCAGGGUGGGGGCGGGGGCCAGGGGAACAUCUCUAAAAGAGCGAUUAUAUCAUACAGAGAGAAAAAUUUUUAGAGACCAAAAAAGCAUGGAAUAUCUACCAUUUUAUUUUUUGAGACAGGGUCUCACUCCCACACCCAGGCUGGAGUGCAGUUGCGUGAUCUUGGCUCACUGUAGUCUUGACUUCCCUGGCUCAGGGAUUCUCCCACCUCAGCCUCCUGGGUAGCUGGAAUCACAGGUGCACUCCAGUACGCCUGGCUAAUUUUUGUAUAGAUGAGAUUUCGCUAUGUUGCCCAGGCUGGUCUUGAGCUCCUGGUCUCAAGCAGUACACCCGCCUCAGGCUUGAAAAGUGCUGGGAUUACAGGUGUGAGCUACUGUGACUGGCCUAUUAUAUUUAAUAGCUCCAGGACAAAGGACUUUACUGUUUAAUUUAGCUAGUUUCCAACGAAUGAAUGGGAACUUCAAAUGAUUUAAGGCUUUAAAAAGAUGAAACUGGCCGGGUGUGGUGGCUCACGCCUGAAGUCCCAACACUUUGGGAGGCCCGAUCACCUGAGGUCGGGAGUUCGAGACCAGCCUGAUCAACAUGAAGACACCCUGUCUCUAAUAAAAAUACAAAAUUAACGGGCAUGGUGGUGCAUGCCUGUAAUCCCAUCUACUCGGGAGGCUGAGGCAGGAGAAUCCCUUGAACCCAGGAGGCAGGGGUUGCAGUGAGCCGAGAUUGUGCCAUUGCACUCCAGCCUGGGCAACAAGAGUGAAACUCCGUCUCAAAAAAAAAAAAAAAAAGAAAGGAAGAAACCGGCCAGGCGCAGUGGCUCACACCUGUAAUCCCUGCACUUUGGGAGGCCAAGGCAGGCAGAACAUGAGGUCAGGAGAUAGAGACCAUCCUGGCCGACAUGGUGAAACCCUGUCUCUACUAAAAUAAAAAUUAAAAAAAUUAGCCAGGCGUGGUGGCAUGCGCCUGUAGUCCCAGCUACUCGGGAGGCUGAGGCACGAGAAUCACUUGAACCCGGGAGGCAGUGAGCCAAGAUCGUGCCACUGCAUUCCCGCCUGGCGACAGAGCAAGAUUCUGUCUCAAAAAAAAAAAAAAAAAAAAGAUGAAACCCUCUCUAAUCUACCUUAAGGCUAGUAAAAUAAAACAUGAG
RNAcentral lists this long non-coding RNA (6669 nucleotides) under Homo sapiens (human). RNAcentral's name for it is "non-protein coding lnc-CCDC125-1:5". The record is from RNAcentral. Lineage: Eukaryota; Metazoa; Chordata; Mammalia; Primates; Hominidae.